Molecule: ribosomal RNA, 617 nt
Filed under: uncultured bacterium
Lineage: Bacteria
Description: bacterial SSU rRNA
Rfam family: Bacterial small subunit ribosomal RNA (bases 1-517)
Source: RNAcentral
CCUACGGGAGGCAGCAGUGGGGAAUCUUGCGCAAUGGGCGAAAGCCUGACGCAGCCAUGCCGCGUGAAUGAUGAAGGUCUUAGGAUUGUAAAAUUCUUUCACCGAGGACGAUAAUGACGGUACUCGGAGAAGAAGCCCCGGCUAACUUCGUGCCAGCAGCCGCGGUAAUACGAAGGGGGCUAGCGUUGCUCGGAAUUACUGGGCGUAAAGGGAGCGUAGGCGGAUAGUUUAGUCAGAGGUGAAAGCCCAGGGCUCAACCUUGGAAUUGCCUUUGAUACUGGCUAUCUUGAGUACGGAAGAGGUAUGUGGAACUCCGAGUGUAGAGGUGAAAUUCGUAGAUAUUCGGAAGAACACCAGUGGCGAAGGCGACAUACUGGUCCGUUACUGACGCUGAGGCUCGAAAGCGUGGGGAGCAAACAGGAUUAGAUACCCUGGUAGUCCACGCUGUAAACGAUGAGUGCUAGUUGUCGGCAUNCAUGCAUGUCGGUGACGCAGCUACGACAUAAGACACUCCGCCGUGGGGAGGUACGGUCGGCGAAGUAAGUUAAACGUUACAAAUAGUUAAGUUAGUACGGCGUUGAGACGUUGCCGACGGACGACGACGAGGGGAGGUUAGG